RNAcentral lists this long non-coding RNA (810 nucleotides) under Homo sapiens (human). RNAcentral describes it as "HSALNT0010991". The record is from RNAcentral. Lineage: Eukaryota; Metazoa; Chordata; Mammalia; Primates; Hominidae.
CAGAUACAGGUUAUGUGGGAUCCUCUGAGCUGAGAUUCAGAGGGCAGUUGCAGCUCCUUCUUACCUCAGAAGCACUGCAAAUGGCAUCACAGACAAGGGAGAAUUUCCUAUUGGUCCCUAGGAUGGUUCAGGGAAUAUGAGAAACCAAAAAGAAAAAAGAUAACAGAAGAUGCAACGAUAAAAGUUGGGGCAGGGACUCCUGGGCAUGGAGAAAAAGUGUACAGGAAUGCCGGGCAUUUCAGGCUGACCUAAGGAAGAGCCCUGGAUCAAGAAAAGACUGCCUUCUCCUCCUAGACAUCUGGAGUCCCCGUACCUCAUCCUGAUAUCUGGUGACUCCUGGAGGUUUUCCUGGAGAGAGCGGGGAGUGUCUACUUGACAUCGAAAGGUUAAUAUGUUGAAUCCUAAUUACCAACUCGAUAGUAUUAGGAGAUGGGACCUUUGAGAAGUGAUUAGGUUAUAAGGAUGGAGCCCUCAUGGACCGGAUUAAUGGAAAGAGAAGAAAAGAAAAGAAAAAAGAAAAGAAAAGAAAAGGAAAGAAAGGGGUCCAGAGAGCUGCCUUGCCCUUCUACUAUGUGAGGACACAGCAAGAAGGCAUCAUCUAUGAUCCAGGAAGUGGGCCCUCACCAGACACCAAAUCUGCUGGUGCUUUGAUCUUGAACUUACCAGUCUUCAGAACUGUGAGCAACAAAUUUCUGUUGUUUAAAAGCCACCCAGUUUAAGGGAGAAGAGGCCUCACAGGCAAGAAGAACACGAGAACACAGAUGCUCCCAGGGUCCCUGGAAAAAUGCCAUCAAAAUCUAGUGUACAUCU